AAGUCGUAACAAGGUUUCCGUAGGUGAACCUGCGGAAGGAUCAUUACCAAUUUAAUCCAAAAACACUUUAACCCAUGUGCACGGUGACAUUGUUUGUCCUUGGGGUGGUGGCCGUUUUGUAUUUGCAAAAUGUUUGCUGCCCCCACAUUUGUUUAACACAUUCUUAUUUUUGUGGCAUCUUAGUGUCUUGUAAUAAAAUAUUGACAACUUUUAACGGUGGAUCUCUUGGCUCGU
Molecule: unclassified non-coding RNA, 234 nt
Filed under: fungal sp.
Lineage: Eukaryota; Fungi
Description: partial internal transcribed spacer region
Rfam family: Eukaryotic small subunit ribosomal RNA (bases 1-46)
Source: RNAcentral